RNAcentral lists this ribosomal RNA (916 nucleotides) under Bacillus thuringiensis. RNAcentral describes it as "bacterial SSU rRNA". It matches the Rfam family "Bacterial small subunit ribosomal RNA", at positions 449 to 1338 of the family's 1533-position model. The record is from RNAcentral. Lineage: Bacteria; Bacillati; Bacillota; Bacilli; Caryophanales; Bacillaceae.
GCUAGUUGAAUAGGUUGGCACCUGGACGGUACCUAACCAGAAAGCCACGGGCAAAUACGUGCCAGCAGCCGCGGUAAUAUGUAGGUGGCAAGCGUUAUCCGGAAUUAUUGGGGCUAAAGCGCGCUGCAGGUGGUUUUUUAAGUUUGAUGUGAAAGCUCACGGUUCAACCGUGGAGGGUCAUUGGAAAGCCUGGGAGACUUGAGUGCAGAAGAGGAAAGUGGAAUUCCAUGUGUAGCGGUGAAAUGCGUAGAGAUAUGCGAGGAACACCAGUGGCGAAGGCGACUUUGCUGGUCUGUAAUCUGACAUUGAGGCGCAGAAAGCGUGGCGGAGCAAACAGGAUUAGAUACCCUGGUAGUCCACGCUGUACAACGAUGAGUGCUAAGUGUUAGAGGGUUGCUCUCCGCCCUUUAGUGCUGAAAGUUAACGCAUUAAGCCACCUCCGCCUGAGGGAGUACGGCCUUGCAAGGCUGAAACUCAAAGCGAAUUGACCGGGCGUGUCCCGCACAAGCGGUGGAGCAUGUGGUUUAAUUAGAAGCAACGCGAAGAACCUUACCAGGUCUUGACAUCCUCUGAAAACCCUAGAGAUAGGGCUUCUCCUUCGGGAGCAGAGUAGACAGGUGGUGCAUGGUUGUCGUCAGCUCGAAACGUGAGAUGUUGGGUUAAGUCCCGCCACGAGCGCAACCCUUGAUCUUAGUUGCCAUCAUUAAGUUGGGCACUCUAAAGUAACUGCCGGUGACAAACCGGAGGAAGGUGGGGAUGACGUCAAAUCAUCAUGCCCCUUAUGACCUGGGCUACACACGUGCUACAAUGGACGGUACAAAGAGCUGCAAGACCGCGAGGUGGAGCUAAUCUCAUAAAACCGUUCUCAGUUCGGAUUGUAGGCUGCAACUCGCCUACAUGAAGCGGGAAUCGCUGU